This 459-nucleotide ribosomal RNA is filed under the name uncultured bacterium. RNAcentral describes it as "partial 16S ribosomal RNA". It matches the Rfam family "Bacterial small subunit ribosomal RNA", at positions 338 to 795 of the family's 1533-position model. The record is from RNAcentral.
CCUACGGGUGGCAGCAGUGAGGAAUAUUGGUCAAUGGGCGUAAGCCUGAACCAGCCAAGUCGCGUGAGGGAUGAAGGUUCUAUGGAUCGUAAACCUCUUUUAUAAGGGAAUAAAGUGUGGGACGUGUCCUAUUUUGUAUGUACCUUAUGAAUAAGGAUCGGCUAACUCCGUGCCAGCAGCCGCGGUAAUACGGAGGAUGCGAGCGUUAUCCGGAUUUAUUGGGUUUAAAGGGUGCGCAGGCGGGAGAUCAAGUCAGCGGUAAAAUGUCGGGGCUCAACCCCGGCCGGCCGUUGAAACUGGUUUUCUAGAGUUGGAGAGAAGUAUGCGGAAUUCGUGGUGUAGCGGUGAAAUGCAUAGAUAUCACGAAGAACUCCGAUUGCGAAGGCAGCAUACCGGCUCCAUACUGACGCUGAGGCACGAAAGCGUGGGGAUCGAACAGGAUUAGAUACCCGGGUAGUC